AAAAUUGAAAUCACGAAAGCACGACGACAGCUCGUCUCAUCUCCGGCGUCAAUAAUCUCCAGCAUGAAUCAUCUCUGCCUUCAUCAUCUCCGGCAUCGAUCAUCUCGUCCAUCAUCGUCUCAGGCGUCGAUCGUCUCCGGCGUCGUUCAUCUCCGCCGUAAUCAUCUCCGCUGUACUGCAUCCGAGGCACUCUAUAAUCCAGAUGUGUCUAAUGUGGAUCUGGAACCAUACAGUCAUUAGAGUCUGAACUUUCGAAGAAACUCGAGAUUACAGAGAAUGCAAAAGAGGAGAAUGACGAAGAAGAAGAAGGAAGCAAAGCUGAGACUUCAACUACGAAGAAGAACAAAAACAAGAAUAAAAGCAAGAAGAAGCCCCAUCAGACUGAUCUGCCUACAAUCCCUAUCGUGAAGUUUUUCCCAUCUGGAGACUUUCCUUAAGGUGAAAUCCAACAAUAUAAGUAUGAGUAAGUUCCAUACCAACAACUCUAUUCGGACCAGCUUUAUAGUAUGCAAUAAGCUUGUGGAUUUAGUUCAUAUAGCUUCUGUCUUUGCAUCUGUUAAACUCCAUCGUAUUUUUAGUCUUUUUCUUUUCAAUACUUUUUUUCUUCUCUUGUUACCUUUAUGACACUUUAAGA
Molecule: long non-coding RNA, 634 nt
Organism: Brassica oleracea var. oleracea
Lineage: Eukaryota; Viridiplantae; Streptophyta; Magnoliopsida; Brassicales; Brassicaceae
Exons: 4
Source: RefSeq, a predicted model, not a curated record